ACGCUGGCGGCAGGCCUAACACAUGCAAGUCGAGCGGCAGCACGGGUACUUGUACCUGGUGGCGAGCGGCGGACGGGUGAGUAAUGCCUAGGAAUCUGCCUGACAGUGGGGGAUAACGCUCGGAAACGGACGCUAAUACCGCAUACGUCCUACGGGAGAAAGCAGGGGACCUUCGGGCCUUGCGCUAUCAGAUGAGCCUAGGUCGGAUUAGCUAGUUGGUGGGGUAAUGGCUCACCAAGGCGACGAUCCGUAACUGGUCUGAGAGGAUGACCAGCCACACUGGAACUGAGACACGGUCCAGACUCCUACGGGAGGCAGCAGUGGGGAAUAUUGCACAAUGGGCGCAAGCCUGAUGCAGCCAUGCCGCGUGUGUGAAGAAGGCCUUAGGGUUGUAAAGCACUUUCAGCGAGGAGGAAGGCGUUGUACUUAAUAGCUGCAGCGAUUGACGUUACUCGCAGAAGAAGCACCGGCUAACUCCGUGCCAGCAGCCGCGGUAAUACGGAGGGUGCAAGCGUUAAUCGGAAUUACUGGGCGUAAAGCGCACGCAGGCGGUUUGUUAAGUCAGAUGUGAAAUCCCCGAGCUUAACUUGGGAACUGCAUUUGAAACUGG
Molecule: ribosomal RNA, 610 nt
Filed under: uncultured bacterium
Lineage: Bacteria
Description: bacterial SSU rRNA
Rfam family: Bacterial small subunit ribosomal RNA
Source: RNAcentral